UAAAGGCCUGGUCCUGGCUUUACUAUCAACUUUAGCCAAAUUUACACAUGCAAGUAUCCGCCACCCCGUGAGAAUGCCCUAACAGUUUUAUGCCCUAAAACAAGGAGCUGGCAUCAGGCACAACAUAAUAGUUUAGCCCACAACGCCUUGCUUAGCCACACCCCCAAGGGAACUUCAGCAGUGAUAAACCUUAAGCCAUAAGUGAAAACUUGACUUAGUAAAGCUAAGAGGGCCGGUAAAACUCGUGCCAGCCACCGCGGUUAUACGAGAGGCCCAAGUUGAUGAAUACCGGCGUAAAGCGUGGUUAAGAAAGAAUAUUACUAAAGCCGAAUGCCUUCACAGCAGUUAUACGCACCCGAAGCAACGAAGCUCCACCACGAAAGUGGCUUUACAAACUCUGACCCCACGAAAGCUAUGACACAAACUGGGAUUAGAUACCCCACUAUGCAUAGCCAUAAACAUUGAUAAGAUUGUACACCCCUUAUCCGCCUGGGAACUACGGGCACUAGCCUAAAACCCAAAGGACUUGGCGGUUCUUUAGCCCCCCCUAGAGGAGCCUGUUCUGUAACCGAUUACCCCCGUUGAACCUCACCCUCCCUUGUUUACCCCGCCUAUAUACCGCCGUCGUCAGCUAACCCUAUGAAGGAUAAAUAGUAAGCAAAAUUGGCACAGCCCAAAACGUCAGGUCCAGGUGUAGCGCAUGGAAGGGGAAGAAAUGGGCUACAUUCGCUAAUGUAGCGAAAACGAAAGAUGUACUGAAAAAAUACACCCGAAGGAGGAUUUAGCAGUAAGUGGCAAACAGAGUGUCCCACUGAAGCCGGCUCUAAAGUGCGUACACACCGCCCGUCACUCUCCCCAACAACUAAUACUUAACUAACUAAAGCACCACACCCGAAAAGGGGAGACAAGUCGUAACAUGGUAAGUGUACCGGAAGGUGCACUUGGAAAAAU
Molecule: ribosomal RNA, 951 nt
Filed under: Diplospinus multistriatus (striped escolar)
Lineage: Eukaryota; Metazoa; Chordata; Actinopteri; Scombriformes; Gempylidae
Description: 12S ribosomal RNA
Rfam family: Bacterial small subunit ribosomal RNA
Source: RNAcentral